This 409-nucleotide ribosomal RNA is filed under the name uncultured bacterium. Its description in RNAcentral is "bacterial SSU rRNA". It matches the Rfam family "Bacterial small subunit ribosomal RNA", at positions 509 to 916 of the family's 1533-position model. The record is from RNAcentral.
CAGCAGCCGCGGUAAUACGUAGGUGGCAAGCGUUGUCCGGAUUUAUUGGGCGUAAAGAGAAUGUAGGCGGUUUAUUAAGUUUGAAGUGAAAGCCCUCGGCUCAACCGAGGAAGUGCUUCGAAAACUGGUAAACUUGAGUGCAGAAGAGGAAAGUGGAACUCCAUGUGUAGCGGUGGAAUGCGUAGAUAUAUGGAAGAACACCAGUGGCGAAGGCGGCUUUCUGGUCUGUAACUGACGCUGAGAUUCGAAAGCAUGGGUAGCAAACAGGAUUAGAUACCCUGGUAGUCCAUGCCGUAAACGAUGAGUGCUAAGUGUUGGAGGGUUUCCGCCCUUCAGUGCUGCAGCUAACGCAUUAAGCACUCCGCCUGGGGAGUACGAUCGCAAGAUUGAAACUCAAAGGAAUUGACGG